CGCACAGGACUUAAAAUCCUGCGGUAGGUGACUACCGUACCGGUUCGAUUCCGGUCCUCGGCACCA
RNAcentral lists this transfer RNA (66 nucleotides) under Heyndrickxia shackletonii. Its description in RNAcentral is "Bacillus shackletonii tRNA-OTHER". It matches the Rfam family "tRNA", at positions 22 to 71 of the family's 71-position model. Rfam says of the family: Transfer RNA (tRNA) molecules are approximately 80 nucleotides in length. Their secondary structure includes four short double-helical elements and three loops (D, anti-codon, and T loops). Further hydrogen bonds mediate the characteristic L-shaped molecular structure. tRNAs have two regions of fundamental functional importance: the anti-codon, which is responsible for specific mRNA codon recognition, and the 3' end, to which the tRNAs corresponding amino acid is attached (by aminoacyl-tRNA synthetases). tRNAs cope with the degeneracy of the genetic code in two manners: having more than one tRNA (with a specific anti-codon) for a particular amino acid; and 'wobble' base-pairing, i.e. permitting non-standard base-pairing at the 3rd anti-codon position. The record is from RNAcentral. Lineage: Bacteria; Bacillati; Bacillota; Bacilli; Caryophanales; Bacillaceae.